This 253-nucleotide ribosomal RNA is filed under the name uncultured bacterium. RNAcentral describes it as "partial 16S ribosomal RNA". It matches the Rfam family "Bacterial small subunit ribosomal RNA", at positions 524 to 776 of the family's 1533-position model. The record is from RNAcentral.
UACAGAGGUCCCAAGCGUUGUUCGGAUUCAUUGGGCGUAAAGGGUGUGUAGGUGGCGCCGUAAGUCGGGUGUGAAAUUUCGGAGCUUAACUCCGAAACUGCAUUCGAUACUGCGGUGCUUGAGGACUGGAGAGGAGACUGGAAUUCAUGGUGUAGCAGUGAAAUGCGUAGAGAUCAUGAGGAAGACCAGUGGCGAAGGCGGGUCUCUGGACAGUUCCUGACACUGAGGAACGAAAGCGUGGGUAGCGAACAGG